Molecule: long non-coding RNA, 511 nt
Organism: Amphimedon queenslandica
Lineage: Eukaryota; Metazoa; Porifera; Demospongiae; Haplosclerida; Niphatidae
Exons: 6
Source: RefSeq, a predicted model, not a curated record
CGGGCAACAGCUGAUCAUGUAUUGUAUUGUACAGGCAAUGGUUAAAGUCACUGAACUGUCAAGUCAGGUACGAUCCAAAGAUGAUGAAAUAUCAAAGAAAGAGACACAGAUCCUUUCCCAUUGUUUCCUGGAGAGAGAUUACCUGAGAGUGGCAGUGCAACUGAUUACUCUCGUGCUAUUAAGCAUCUUCCAACCAUAAAAGCAGAUCAUGGCAUACACUUGAGUGCUCUGGUUGAUAUGGAGGAGACUGAUACUGCUCCAGCUCGUAAGGCAGGGGAUGAGUGGCAGCUGAGAGGACCACUGACCUAUUUACCCAAACCAGAAGAGGUGAGAAGUUUGAGAGAGGGAUACAAGAUGCUAUUAUAUUAGAAUCUGAUGAAGCUCUUCUUGUCACUGCUCAAGAGGAAUUUGACGAUGUUACUGAAGAUGGUAGUAAAGUCCAUCGUACCCCUGGUGAUAGGUGGAUGAUUCAUGGACCAACUGACCAUAGGGGUAGGAACAGGGGGGGCAG